UUGUACUCAGGUUCUGUCAAGAAGCCUAGUAUAUACCUCUUAUAAGGUAAAUAGUAUGUAGUGUAUUACUGUAAAAGGGUUUCGGGUGUCAGGGAAAGAUACUGGGAAACGGAGAGACCAUAUUGUUUACGUAUCGAGCAAUGUAUGGUUGAUUCUUCAUGCUGGGGCUUGUCGACUUUCACGCCGUGCAUCUAUCCAGUGUUAUGUUCUUGUUGCCACAAAUUAAUCACGGUUCACCCAGUAUUAUAAUAAUCAUGGCGGCAUCAUUGCCAGUCUUGGCUUGAGUCUUACCUAUUGGCUUAAGUCUUCUAACAUAAUACUAUAUUGAUGCUGGUUAUGAAUUGAAUCGCCAUCGUGUUUUUCCUCAGAUUUAUAUAUACGUUUCAAGGUAAUAUCAGUAUGUAAAAGUCUCUCUCUCUCUCUCUCUCUCUCUCUCUCUCUCUCUCUCUCUCUCUCUCUCAUGCUACAUGGAACUGGGUUGUUUGAUUUCGUAUAUCUGCAGGGUUGGACCUCCUCUCUAUUCAUUAAAAACACAUUGCAGCGUGAUAGAGUACUUACUAUAGAACAUGUCUGUGAUGUUUUCAAUGUGGGGAAGGCUUUUGUAAGGCCAUAGUAAUUAAAUUAAUAGCGCGCCGCCUCCAGAAACUAAGUCCACAAUCAUCCCUUCCGAGUGAAGCUACACAAAUUAAUGCGUGUGUUCGUGUGUUGGUAAGUGUGUGGCGCACGCAGCUGGAGCGUGACGUCGUCAAUUCACGUGAUAAUACAUCUGUCAAUCACCAUACAAUACGUGUGAUCUCUUAGUCACGGCUGGCAAGGGUGGCCUGCUGAUAUACGAGUACUCUUAGUUGUGCCAUGGCGGGAGAUGGGUGUGCUGACUGCGAUUACGGAUUAUUUGCAGUUUUACCCGCAUUUUAUAAUAUCUCCACAGCAACCGUAAACGAGAUGGCCUGCCUCUACCCUCCUCACCAUGAGAGCUUCUCUCAGCUAAGUUAUGAGAUAGUAUAUACAUCCUAACCUUACCUUAGUCCCAUGAAUACCUUGCACAAACAGGGCUCAUCGUGCUGCCAAAGAAUGGUCCUCUGGAGGUUCAUGGUCUCAGGGCAUUCCAUUCUCACCUUAGUCAACUUUUUAUAGCACACAUUAUAAUUAUACUUUGUUUUACCAGUCAGGAAUGACCAUAGAUAUUUAUUUUUCAUUAUAGCUUCUGGUAACAAAAAAAUUAAAUAAAUAAAUAAAUAGCGGCAGCUUGCACAUAAUUGUGAAAGUAUUUUCCAUACUUGCAGUCACAGACUGAAGCUUGAAUCAUUUUACUUUGACAACCUACUUGUCUGAGACCAUAUUAUGUAGUACACUUUAAAAAUACCAAUCACCAUAGAAAAAUAUACAAACAACAUUUAUCAUUUUAAUAUUUGAAACAAAAAAUAUCUUAUUAUACUCACCAUUGUUACUUACAUAUUAUUAAUAUUGAGUAUUCUUAAAAUGUAUUUUGUUCUUGGGCUCAGGCAUGUGUUGACAGGUACAUUGACAGAAUUUAGUGAUGCAGCUUUCAGCUCCUGUGACUGCUAUAAACUAGCCAGUGGGAGCCAAAGUUAUUGUGUUUUAACAUUGAAACAGCCAGCUGGAAAGCAUGCCCCAUUUGUUUCAUAACUUAUCUUCAGCUAAUCUCAUCCUUCAGGGAAUACCCAGAAUACACACCUUUCCAAUUGUUUUUGUCCUUACACUCCAUUCUUCUCAUGGUCUGAUUCCUCCUUUCUGAAGUAUUCAAACAUUCCUAACAUUUUAUCUGCAUUCUUCCUCAUACUCUCAAAUCAUCUACUCUUCAUCCAUCAUAAUUUCAUCCAUCGUCUCAUUCAGGUAUUCUAAGGUUACCUUUGUAUCUAUUUUAUCCUUCCUCUCUUAUUUUAGAAUUGUCUGUACCUUUGCAUCCAUUUUAUCCUUCCUCUCUGAUUUUAGAAUUGUCUACAUUUUAUAGAGCUGCUUCUCAUCAUUCACUGUUUUCUGCCAUAUGGUGCUUGGACUUGGUGCCAUGUACUGUAUGAAUGUUCAUUUAUUCCUGUCCUUUGCAUCUUUUGUUAUUCCUAUUCUUUGCAACUGCAUUUUUAAGUUCAUGAGUCUCAUUCUGUCUCCAGCAAUUUCCUGCCUUCAGCAGAUGUUAUUUAUAGGUUCUUCAUUUGGUGCAGAUAAUGAAACCAUAUCCACUUCUGUUUCCAUACCACCUCUCUUUCUCCCUCAUUUUUGUUACCAAAGAAUUUUCUUUCCUCGCAUUAUGCCCUUUCAUGCUUUCAUUUUUUCUUCUCACCAAGAUUUUGAUGUCUACAUACUUAUUCCUUCCCUUGUAUGUUCCUGUCAUUCAGUUUCUUUCCAUCUCCAAGCUCUGUCCUUGUAUACUCUGAUACUUUCUCCUCUUGCAUAUUUCACAUACUCCAUCAUUAUUUACUUUCCUUUUAUUCUUUUCUUUACAUCUAAUCAUGUCAGUCUUUUCUGCCCUUUUCUCUUUAUGCUCCAACAUUAUCCUUCCAUAUCAUUGGAGGUCAUCCUCCUGGACCCACUACAUUUGCAUACCUUCAUGUAUAUUGUGUGUGUGUACACAUUAGUUUUAAUUUCUUCAGCCUUUGUGGACCUUCCAAACUUAAUGACCUUAAAACUUUUACCAGUGUACUGGUAUAUUUGAGGCAUUAUCAUUUCUUCAAUAACAGGAAGGACUGAGAGGAAAUAAGUAUUUUCUUAUAUUUAUUGUUGUUCAUUACUUCAAAUGUACAUAUACAUAGGUAUUUUUAUUACUUAAAUCCUGCAUAAAUACUAUAUAUUAGUUAUAUAAAAAAAAAAAUCUACUUACAUGAUGAUAAAAUACAUUUCAACAGAUUAUUUGAUGGCCUGUGUUCCUCGGGGGAGAGCAUUGCAACUAGCUUUGCCAGCUGCCAACAAUUCCCUGUGAAGAGGAUAAGAUGGCUACAGAGAGGAGCAGCUGCAUUUCUUCCUUGAGGGAAGGAUGUUGUGCAUGAGCAUGGUGUUGAUAUUAUCAGUGGAGUGAAUACACCAGAGAAAAGAAAUAAGAUAAUAGAGUAGAAAGUUUUAAAAUGGGGAGUUAAAUUAUAAUCUAUAUAAAUGAUACAGGAUGUUGGUCAGUGGAAUGUACAAGCAAGGUUGGAAUGUAAUGAUACAGGAUGUGUGGGCCAGUGGAAUGUACAAGCAAGAUUGGACGUAAGGAUGAGUGGUGUAGUAUGGCAUGGAUGAGGAAAACGGGCUAGGAGGAAAGAAAGAUAUGCACUUAGUGCAUGAGUGGAGAGGACCAAGAAUAGUGGAGACAGUUGAGAUGCUAGGGAAUGUGUGUGCAGAGAGAAUUUUGGAAUUAUCUAAAUUAGUGCCUGAGUAAAAUUAGGAAAGGAUGAAGGAAAAUCUUCACUAGAAAUGAAAGGGAAAGGUUUGAAGUUACAAAAUAACUAACUGCAAGAGGGACAGCAUUAAGAAGGUGUUUGGUAUAGCAGGCUGAGAGAAGAAUGGGAAGUGCAUACUGGACAGCUGAAAAAGUCAUUAGAGAAUAGAGUACAGGAGUUGUUAUGAACACAAAACACCAAAGUGAAGUGAGGAAGAGAACUCUGUAAUUGUCUUACAAAAGGUGAAUGAUGUUGCUGGAAGAGCUACAUGGCUACGUUCUUGUCCAAUGCUUUGAAUGACAACAUUGUUUAGUGUUUUAAUAUGCUUGCUUGGAGAAACAUGUACUUUACGAAGUGCUUAUGAUCUUAAUCCCCCCUGUCCCUGCAGCUGCGAGUUAUGCACACAUUUCCAUGUGCAAAUUUCCCCUAUUAUCUGAGAUAUGCAUAAGGGAUUCUAUCUAAUAUUGUAUAAGUCAUUGGAUGCUGCAGAUUAAGGACCAAUACUAGGAAAAUUUAAUGUUAAACAAGAAUUAAUCCAGUAAUAUGCCAUCUAGUUCCUGAGCUGCUUCUAUAGAGUCUGGGAUACCUCCCCAAAGAUUUCAGGGGAUUUUCCCAUGGAAAUAUGUGAGUGUAACUCUCAGCUGCAAAGGUAGUUUAACUACUUAAUAAGUACACAUUUCUACAAGCAAGCAUGAUAAAAACUGCCUGUUGCUGUCAUUCAAAGCAUCAGCCAAGAACUCGCUGUCAUUCAAAGCAUCAGCCAAGAACUCUAUGUUGCCAUACACUGCUUUUUCUGGUGCAGUUUUUCCAUGGUGUAUACAGUGGCCAGAUUGACAACAAUAAAGUUUCACAACACCCUCUCAUUAUAUAGGGGUCAGCAGCUGUGUCAGUCUAAUGUCUCCCACUUUGAGAUGCUGAUCUCUGCACAUUUUCACUUCCCUGUAUCCCACUUGAUAUAUGUGAUGAUGGAUGUUUUUUCCAUAAUUGAACAGAAGGAUUGUGUAGAUUAUAGCUGCUAACAGAUAUUCAAAUUGCUUUUUCAUGAAAAUGUAAAUAAAAACAGUGGUUUGUAAUAGUCAAGUCCUUCAGAAUAGGAUGAUCUUAACAGAUUUUAGUGUCCAACAGAUUUUAGUUUGGACACAAAGGAGAUGGUAAGAUGAUACUUUCUUAUCUUUGGUGGUAGGCACAGGACAUAGCAGUUAAGCAUGUGGAAAGUCAUAAUGAGCUAUUAUUCUCCUGUGCCUACAGCUGUGCCUACAGCUUGGAAUACAAAAAAUUGCCUACCACUUUUCCUUUCUGCCUAAUAUCUAUCUCCUGUGCCUACAGCUUGGAAUACAAAAAAUUGCCUACCACUUUUCCUUUCUGCCUAACAAGUAUUUGAUGGUACCAUUGUCCUGGGAAACUUACCAUAAACCACUGUAUUUAUAUAUACUAAAUAUUACUUACACCAUAUAUAAUGAAGAAAGAGUUAAGUUAUUGUGGCCAGUGGUAUGUAAACAUUGUGACAUGAAAGGAGAAUUAAAAGCGAGAGGACCAAGAAAGGUAGGCAUACAAGUAUCAUGGGAUCACUUGCAUGAGUUACCAGAGAAAAAUGAUGUCUGAAGAGGUUUAAGGAAUAGUAUUCUACCAAUAAUGAAUUAUGGAAUAGGAUGGAGCAAGACGGCAGUUGAGUACAUGCAUGAUGAAAUGACAAAUGAGGUGACAAAAUGGAGGAUGAGAGUUGUGAAAAUGUCCAAGUGAUGCAGUAAGAACACCCAUACUAAAGGAGUAAAGUGGUGGUCCUAACAGAAGGCUGCUAUUUUUAUCUUCCUCUCUUGCGUGAUUUCUUGCCUCUUCUCCAUCUUCCUCUUUUCUUCAUAAUAAUCUUUUUUUCUUCUCUUCCAUCCCUUUCCUUUUCUUUCUUUUUUUGUCUUCUUUCUAGCUCUUGUGGAGUUGCACUGUGGGAAAAGGAGCCAGUGAGAAGUUCUGAGAAAAAGGAGUGGGCAGAAUGGGCCACUUCAACAACUUGAUCUUAGCAGUAAUGUCUGUACACUAUUAUAAUAUCUGUACACUUAUAAUAUUUAAACAAUGUAUAAUAUGGUAAAUAAAAUCUAUAUCAAU
Long non-coding RNA from Scylla paramamosain (green mud crab), 5474 nucleotides. RefSeq lists it as uncharacterized. The transcript has 2 exons. The record is from RefSeq and is a predicted model, not a curated record. Lineage: Eukaryota; Metazoa; Arthropoda; Malacostraca; Decapoda; Portunidae.